UAGUCUACCCCACGGUAUAAACCACGGACCCGCUACGGAUGGGGAGGGAGUAACAGAGUAACGUGCCCACGGUGCACCUCCUUCAAUAGACAAUUCUAUAAAUUAUUAUUUCACGGGUCAGAGAUGGCAGCGCACUAUCACACGCCUGCGCGAACAGAGCGUUACCAGGGGGUCCUGUCAAUCACAGAGCGAACGCGCGUGUGUGUGUGUGUGCACGCGUGUGGGUACAUGUGACCAACCGGAACCUGUGUUUAACAAGGGUCUGAACUUGGACCCUGUUGUAGACGAAAUGCACCCUCUCCAAACCCGUUGGAUUAGCGCCAUGAGACGGGUUGAGAGACAGAAAACCCCGAACUACUAACGACCUACAUACAGGAAUAGACAAGAGUCCUUCAAAAGUGCAUGGACCACAGAACAACGCCAAAAAACAACAACACAACAGUACCCAGACACACUAAGCACCAAUAAAUGAGGACAAUGAUAUGCUUCUUCUGGCUCCUUCUCUGUCUCCAAUAAGAAUCCUUGUCAGGCAGAACCGACACUUUGGAAUGUCUGAUUGGAAAUAAUGGAAGACCACACACACACACACAAAAAAAAAUGCUCGGGACGCUAUUCCAUCUUUACCAGGCCACUGGUUUGAAUUGGCGCAUAUCUCCCGACGUUCAGCGCGUCUUUCACAUCGAGGCGUCUCCACCUAGAAACUAUAACGGGUAAAUAAAGCUCAAUAGAUGGGACAGAAAUCAGACAGCCGCAUCGCAAUUUACCUGGAGCAGGGAGGCAUUCUGACCUGCAUCUCAUAGAGAGACAGAGAGAGAGGGGGACAGAGAGGGGGAGAGACAG
Molecule: long non-coding RNA, 840 nt
Organism: Oncorhynchus tshawytscha (Chinook salmon)
Lineage: Eukaryota; Metazoa; Chordata; Actinopteri; Salmoniformes; Salmonidae
Exons: 3
Source: RefSeq, a predicted model, not a curated record